CGGGGUGCAGCAGGCGCGAAAACUCUACAAUGCAGGCAACUGCGAUAGGGGGACAUCGAGUGGCAUCCACCUUGGGUGCCUGUCCAACCGUCUAAAAAACGGUUGUUAGCAAGGGCCGGGUAAGACCGGUGCCAACCGCCGCGGUAAUACCGGCGGCUCGAGUGGUGGCCGAUAUUAUUGAGUCUAAAGGGUCCGUAGCCGGCUUUGCAAGUCCCCUGGGAAAUCCAGCGGCUUAACCGUUGGGCUUUCAUGGGAUACUACAUUGCUUGGGACUGGGAGAGGUAGGAGGUACUCGGGGGGUAGGGGUGAAAUCCUGUAAUCCUCCGGGGACCACCGGUGGCGAAGGCGUCCUACCAGAACAGGUCCGACGGUGAGGGACGAAAGCUAGGGGCACGAACCGGAUUAGAUACCCGGGUAGUCCUAGCCGUAAACGAUGCCCGCUAGGUGUCACGACGGUCGUGAAUCGUCGUGGUGCCGUAGGGAAGCCGCGAAGCGGGCCACUUGGGAAGUACGGCCGCAAGGCUGAAACUUAAAGGAAUUGGCGGGGGAGCACAAGGGCGAAUNG
RNAcentral lists this ribosomal RNA (565 nucleotides) under uncultured archaeon. Its description in RNAcentral is "bacterial SSU rRNA". It matches the Rfam family "Archaeal small subunit ribosomal RNA", at positions 326 to 891 of the family's 1478-position model. The record is from RNAcentral.